CAGAUGCAGGUCGGUACAUCCAGAUGCAGGUCGGGGUGAACAGAAGAAGAUCCUGAGGUAGGACGCAGGUGCGGCGCCCACGCGCCCAAGACGGCCCGCGGCGCACGCCGUACACAAGGAUGGAUUCAUUGAGAUGUACAGGACCAAGACGGAGGUCAGCGAGAUGCCACGUCCAAAGCACGACGUCAAGCAAUGUAUGCAUAACAAGAGUACGGGUCCCUGGACAUCAAGGACAGCGGCCGGCCACGCGCUC
RNAcentral lists this long non-coding RNA (253 nucleotides) under Brachypodium distachyon (stiff brome). RNAcentral describes it as "long non-coding RNA (BDIS_LNC004225)". The record is from RNAcentral. Lineage: Eukaryota; Viridiplantae; Streptophyta; Magnoliopsida; Poales; Poaceae.